Long non-coding RNA from Gossypium arboreum, 755 nucleotides. RefSeq lists it as uncharacterized. The transcript is spliced from 5 exons. NCBI's taxonomy places the organism in Eukaryota, Viridiplantae, Streptophyta, Magnoliopsida, Malvales, Malvaceae. The record is from RefSeq and is a predicted model, not a curated record.
GGUAAAAUGACCUGCAAUUUGGUAAGACAUUUUCCAGAAAAUGUAGUCUUCUUCUCCUCUUUCCCCUUCCCCUUCCCCUUGGGUUGCAAAUCAGUGCCAUUGCCAGGUACCUUACCCCUCGCACUAAAUUCCUCAAGAGCUGCGCGAUUUCGAAGAACGACGACGAGAAAGUUUGGUCAAUGACCUUUUCUGGUUCCUUCUUCAUCCAGCCAAAUCUACCAUGGAUUAUUUGCUGGGUCUUGGCUUAAGGUGAUGGCUAGCAAGACGAAAAUAUACAUUGUUCUGGAACUUGUGACUGGUGGUGAACUUUUUGACAAAAUUGCAAUCAAAGGGAGGUUGAAGGAAGAUGAAGCUAGAAAGUAUUUUCAGUAGCUUAUUAAUGCUGUGGAUUACUGCCAUAGUAGGGGGUGUUUACCAUCGAGACAUCAAGGUAAUCUUCAGGCUUAGGUUGGUCGGUGCGACAGAGGCUUAGUUGUGACCACACGUUCAUAAACUCAGUUGUGACCACACAGUCAUAAACUUUGUUUUCACAAAAAAGAUUAUUUAAAUUUCUGGUUUUUGGGAGUUUGUAAUUUUUGGACUCUCUGGAUUGUUAGGUUUUAAUUUUUUAGAUUUGGGUUCGUUUUGAAUUUUCCUACGACGUUCGACAAAAUGUUUUACGAAAACAACUAUUUAUACAAUCAAUCGUUUUUGAGAGAACAUAUGUGGUUUUCAAAAAUAACAACUUUUAAGCUUCCGUUGCAAUUAUUGCUUAA